RNA transcript from Morus notabilis, 3883 nucleotides. It is a transcript of the gene named disease resistance-like protein DSC1, with no coding region annotated. Lineage: Eukaryota; Viridiplantae; Streptophyta; Magnoliopsida; Rosales; Moraceae. The record is from RefSeq and is a predicted model, not a curated record. The transcript is spliced from 6 exons.
GAGUCAAAAUUGGUUGAAAAAAUUGUUCAAGAGGUCUUGAAGAAAUUGAACGAAAUGCCAUAUUCAAGGCCUGAUUUUAGUAAACUGGUUGGAAUUGAAGAGCACGUAGAGAGGCUGGAACGAUCAUUACACAUUGGCACUCCAUUUUUUCGCAUCAUUGGCAUUUGGGGCAUGAUUGGAAUAGGGAAGACAACUAUUGCUACUGUUUUAUAUGACCGGAUCUAUCCUCACUUUGAAGGUUUCUACUUUCUCCGAAAUGUUACUCAAAAGGCGGAACGACAUGGAUUAGACCAUCUACGAAAUACUCUCCUUGCUCAAUUGCUAGGGGAAACAAAUCUGAAUUUAGGCCACCAAUCUUCAGGAUCAACUUCUAUUGGAGGGAGACUUUGUCAUAAAAAAGUCCUUGUCGUCCUUGAUGGUGUGGAUGACGAAGACCAAUUUGAUCAACUUUUACCAAGAGAGCAUAUCGAUUUUCACACUGAAAGUCGGAUAAUCGUGACAACAAGAAGGGCACAAGUGCUUAGGAGUAUUAGAGCUAGUGAGGAAUACAGGGUUGACGAACUAAAUGCGUUCGACGCCCUUAAGCUUUUUAAUUUGAAUGCUUUUGAAAAUAACCCCAUUAAGUCAGAUUUUGCAGACCUAUCUGUUAAGGUGGUUAACAAUCACGCUGGCGGUGUUCCGCUAGCUCUCAAACUUCUUGGUUCAUACCUUGGUCGUCGUAUCAGCAGAGAAGCAUGGGAAAGUGCAUUGGAAAAAUGGGAAUUUGUUCCGAACGAGAAUAUUCUGAAAGCAUACAGAAUAUGUUAUGAUAGCCUACAUCCUACUUCUAGGAAUAUAUGUCUUGAUAUUGCAUGUUUUUUCAGAGGUGAUGAAAGAAAUUUCAUAGAGAGGAUAUUGCACGGCUGUAAAUUUUUCCCAAAAGAUGGAAUAAGCGAUCUGAUUGAUAAUUGUCUCCUAAUAAGCACACCCGAUAACAAGAUCUCAAUGCAUGAUUUACUACAAAGAAUGGCUCAAGAAAUUGUUCGUGAAGAAUCUGAGAGAGAGCCUGAAAAUCGCAGUAGGUUGUGGAUUGCAGAAGAUAUCUGUGACGUACUUGAGAAAAGUAUGGGAACUGCAAAACUUGAAGGCAUGUUUCUGGAUAUGGCAAAGAGUGAGAGAGAGAAGCUCAUAAUUCCUUAUAAAGCCUUCUCAAAUAUGCGUAAUCUAAGAUUGCUCAAAAUUCAUGAUUCUCGCUCAGUCGAGGUCUGCAAAGUGCACAUUCCUUGUGGUCUUGAGUCACUUCCUAAUUCACUUGUAUAUUUCCACUGGCAUUCGUACCCUUGGAACUCUUUGCCAUCAACUUUUGCUCCAAAUGGCCUUGUUGAACUCAACAUGCCAUAUAGCAAACUAGGAAAUCUUUGGCCGACUGGUGUUCAGCAUCUUGGAAACUUGAAAAGGAUCAAUCUUAGCUACUCAGAACGCUUGUCUCGAAUACCAGAUCUUUCUCGAGCUCGUAAUAUUGAGAGUAUAAAUCUUGAAAGCUGUAGAAGUUUGCUUGAACUUCCGUCAUAUGUUUCCAAUCUUGACAAGCUUACUUCACUAAAUCUCAAGGGCUGCUCAUCCCUUCGAAAUUGUUACGCAUUUCCAAGAAACAUUAAAAGUCUUGAUGUGAGAAACUGCACAAAGCUUCAGACUCUCCCAAACAAUGUUUGUGAUCUGGAACAUCUUUGGUAUCUUAAUCUUUCGGGUUGUUGUCAGUUGGUAAACUUCCCAGAAAUCUCGAGGCCCAUGAAACGUUUGGAAUAUCUCAAACUGAAAAGAACAUCAAUUAUAGAGCUACCCGGGUCGAUUAAAAAUCUCUUAGGGCUUAAAGUACUAAGCCUGAAAAUGUGCAAGAACCUUCAAGCUCUCCCAAGUAGCAUCUCUUGUAUAUCCACUCUUCAAAAGCUUAAACUUUGCCAUUGUUCAAAUCUUAAAUCCUUACCCAAGCUUCCAACAUCUGUAUCAUGGGUCGAUGCUCGGUACUGCUCAUUAUUGGAGUCUGUCUCGAUUUCAAAAGCUGAACUCAGAGACGUGUGGAACAAAUUUGUAUUUUAUAACUGCCUAAAAUUGGAUCCAGUUUCUCGCAACAACAUAAUGGCGGAUGCACGGCUUAGAAUUCUGCGGAGUGCAGUGAUGGCAAGAGAAGAUGGAGAAAGCAAGACACCAGAUGAUGAAAUUUGUUUUCCAGGAGAAAAAAUUCCAGAGUGGUUCGAGCAUCAAAACGACGGACAUGAAAUAAAUGUCGAGCUUGAUCAUCAACCUGAUUGGUGCAAUCAGUACUUCUUGGGUUUUGCGUUUUGCGCUGUAGUUGAAUUCCAGAAUGUUUCUUCCGACACAGAUUUCCAGCUUCAUUGCAAAUCCGAGUGCAUAUUCCCCGACGGAAAAACGAAUAAAUGGUCCCGCAGUUGGACUUGGCAUUGGAAUUACCUGGAAGAGGAAAGCAGUACUAUGAAUUCUAGUCACAUAUUUUUGUUUCAUGAUUAUUGUUGCAAGACGUACUGGAAGUUUCCAAUAAAUUGUGAAGCAAGUUCAUCCACCAGUAAAUUGACAACUUACUAUGACAAAUCCUCGGCCACAUUUUCUUUUCACCCUGGAGACUCAAGGGGACGUGUCAGCUCUUUGAAUUGCGAAGUGCAAUUUUGCGGGGUCCACCUUCUCUACACCCAUGAUUCGGGGCAGUUUCGAGACUUUGAGAAUUCACCAUGGGAAACACAUCGUAUGAUGUCUAUAGAAGAACGUGGCUGUUUGGCGCCUGCUCCAAAUGAUUUCCAACGAAGACCGAUUUCCUGUGAUUGCUAAUUAUGCUGCUCCCAGCUUGGAGAGAUUUUUGGCUUCCUACGGUAUGUGUUCCGUCCUGUCGCUGGACCAGUCACAUCAGGUGUCGAUCCAUCAUAUGAGGAAAGGCUAAAAAAAUUGCAAGAAGAUAUCAACAAUCUGCAAUCUGGUAUGAAUAAUCUGCAAUCUUGUAUAAAUCGGAUGAUGGCACAACAUGAACAAACUUUGGACAAGGUUAUUUUCGGAAACCAAUUUCUGAAGCAGUUGGAGAUGAAUAUGCAUGCCCAGACCGCUCGUUGAAUUGCCUGAAAAUUCUCCGUCAAGGGUGCCUAUUGGGCUAUUCAGGGAGCUCAGUUUGAUCCAAAGGAGAAACGGUGAUGGACGAAACUAUGGUCGUUUCAUCUACACGAACGGCUGAAAGUGUUAGUAUGGAGACUGGCUCAUGACACACUAACUACUAGGUGUCAGAUGGCCAAACUUUGGAACGAAAUCGUUAUCGAACUGUUCCGUUUGUGCCAAUCUGAGAAUAAAAGCGUUCUUCAUAUGAUGGUAAAAUGCUCAUUUGCUAGAGUUUUAUGGUUCGCAUGGAGACGGGGUGUUCGCUGGGAUGGUGUUCAAAUAUAUAAGACACUACAAUUCGGCUGUUAAGAGGUUAUUUUAGACCCUCCUAAAAACUUGACCAUAUACCCGUUGCUGAGAAUGAGUUUUCUUUAUUUGCUGCUGUUUUGAUGAACCACAUAUGGGAAGUGCAAAUAUAUAUUCAGGUAUUUUGUGAUCGUUUGCUUGAAAUUUUCAGAAAUUUAAAGCCGAGUCUUAAACAAUAGUCUAUAUGAUAGGAGUUCUGUUAACUCUAAGCAGCAUUCAGUCACUUGGUCUCCGCCCUUGGGUUGGUGGCUAGAGAUCACCGAGGUAUUCCUAUUGUGGUUUGGACUAGAUACCAUGAGGCAAGUUCGGCACUGAAGGCGGAACUAGAAGCGUUGAGAAGGGCUGUGGAGUUGGCUCACUUCAAAGGCUGGAGACUGAUCAGAGUGACAAGGCUGCUCAUACGUACAUUGUGUGCUUGGGCUUUUGGGAGCAAAUUUUCCGG